Molecule: long non-coding RNA, 745 nt
Organism: Ziziphus jujuba (common jujube)
Lineage: Eukaryota; Viridiplantae; Streptophyta; Magnoliopsida; Rosales; Rhamnaceae
Exons: 2
Source: RefSeq, a predicted model, not a curated record
UUUCAUUAAAAACUGCUCUAAACCCAUUGCACAGCGAUCCAAGUGGAAUUUACAAAAGCUCCAAGCUUUUAAAUACUUUGAAAUCAUAGAAGGUGAAGGCGUGGAAUCGUUUCCAGAGGAGGGGCUGCUGCCUUCAACUCUUACCCAUCUUACGAUGGGUGGAUUUGCAAGUCUUAAAAGGCUGGACAUAAAGGAGCUUCAACAACUUACUUCUCUUACAUUUCUAGAAAUCAAGUCGUGCCCUGAAUUACAGAAUCUGCCACAACAAAAGCUGCAUUCAUCUCUUACUGCUUUACAUAUCUACAAAUGUCCAAUCCUGGAAGAAAGGUGUCAGAGGGAUAAAGGGAAAGAAUGGAACAAGAUUUCUCACAUUCCCGGCAUCUAUAUCGAUCUUAAGCUCAUUUGAUCAGAUAUAUGCAACUGACUACUCUUUACAUUCCUGGUAGGUUGGAAUAUGGAAUGUUGCAGAAGACAUAUUGGAUGAGAAUUCACAACAAAGCUUUUGUCUUCCUUCAUGCUCUUCCUCAUUUAUUUUGGGUUCAUGUGUUCACAAAUCCUGCAAGAUGGCAACAAGUGCAAAUAAAAUUUUCAAAUUCUGAGUUUACUUGUUUGGGAAAUUUAGAUAUUUGUGCAUGCUACAUUUGCAAAUACUAGUUAUUUCUAAUUAUGGUGUUGUAUUUAGAAUUAUUAGUUUUACAUUUACAUUUAUCAUGGAUAUUAAUGAUGAUUUAAAGACUUUAGUUCA